Molecule: ribosomal RNA, 253 nt
Filed under: uncultured bacterium
Lineage: Bacteria
Description: partial 16S ribosomal RNA
Rfam family: Bacterial small subunit ribosomal RNA
Source: RNAcentral
UACGAAGGGGGCUAGCGUUGUUCGGAAUUACUGGGCGUAAAGCGCGCGUAGGCGGCGCUCUUUGUCAGAGGUGAAAUCCCGAGGCUCAACUUCGGAAUUGCCUUUGAAACGGGAGCGCUAGAGUCCGAGAGAGGGUGGCGGAAUUCCUAGUGUAGAGGUGAAAUUCGUAGAUAUUAGGAAGAACACCGGUGGCGAAGGCGGCCACCUGGCUCGGUACUGACGCUCAGGCGCGAAAGCGUGGGGAGCAAACAGG